Molecule: long non-coding RNA, 523 nt
Organism: Actinia tenebrosa (Australian red waratah sea anemone)
Lineage: Eukaryota; Metazoa; Cnidaria; Anthozoa; Actiniaria; Actiniidae
Source: RefSeq, a predicted model, not a curated record
UUGAAAGUCUCCAUAGCCCUUCCACCAAGAUCCUUCACUGGCUCCGUCAAAUUGAUUAUUUAUAUCGUUAAGCAAAACAUUGAAAGCGAUGGUGUUUUUGAUAUCUCAGCAUCUUUUCAUCUUGUUGCUUUUAAGAUUCUUCGAAAUCGUUAAGCAAGAAAACUCCAUAGAUGGUCCAUCAGAUAUCGAGGGUUCCAUUGGAGGAGAUGCCUUGUUUAUGUGGAUGCUACGGCACAAAAAGAAAUCCUUGGUGUCAGCUGGGGAAUAAGAAAGGGCAACAUCCCUGAUCCUCAGUUUAUCAGCGUUAAUUCAUAUAAUGGAAAGGUGUACAUAAACAAAGAUAUUGGCGACACGUUGAAAAGAAGAGUAGAAUUCCUUGGAGACUUGACAAUAGGUCGUGCUUGGUUUGUGUUGAAAAACCUUACUGUCAAUGACACUAAUGAAUACAUUGCAAGCAUCAGUGACAAUGUAUCUAGAGUUCUACCAUAUUAUGUGCACCUAAUGGUUGCAGAGAAGAGAAAAG